AUGUGGGGCAUUGACAUGAUUGGAGAAAUCAAACCUACAGCUUCUAAUGGACACCGCUUCAUCUUGGUUGCCAUUGAUUACUUCAUGAAGUGGGUCGAGGCAGCUUCAUUCACUUCUAUCACCAAGAACGUUGUGUCCCGAUUCAUCAAACAGAAUCUUACUUGUCGAUACGGUAUUCCAGAAAGAAUCAUGACAGAUAAUGGUACCAAUCUCAAUAAUACUAUGAUCACUACACUAUGCGCGCAAUUCAAGAUCCAACACCAUAACUCUUCUCCUUACCUCCGAAGAUGA
Non-coding RNA from Vicia faba (fava bean), 291 nucleotides. The record is from the annotation of a GenBank genome assembly. NCBI's taxonomy places the organism in Eukaryota, Viridiplantae, Streptophyta, Magnoliopsida, Fabales, Fabaceae.